Alosa sapidissima (American shad) is the source of this 510-nucleotide long non-coding RNA. RefSeq lists it as uncharacterized. The record is from RefSeq and is a predicted model, not a curated record. The transcript has 3 exons. NCBI's taxonomy places the organism in Eukaryota, Metazoa, Chordata, Actinopteri, Clupeiformes, Clupeidae.
CUGUAGAUCAGAUUCCCAAAACAAAACAAAACAAAACCGAUCAGCACUUUUAGCAAAUGUGUUCUACCAAAUGAGAAGAAGGCACAAAAAGAAUUUGAGACCAGUUCAAGUCCAGGAAGAAGUUACAGCAUGGAAAGACUGAAAAAACUUGGAGUUGGAACUGUUGAUGGUCUUUUUUUUCAUGGACAUGUGGACAUGCAGGAUGCAUAACAGCGAGGGGAUUCUGUCCCCGGAUGAGAAAGCACUAAGCAGAGCGGCGAAGUAAAGGCAGCAAAGCGGCAGAACAGCAGAGCAGCAAAGCAGCAGCCGACCAACUUCCUGUGCCGAUGCGUUUUGAGCCCACAACCCGGAAGUGCUAUGAUCCUCCAAUGGGACACCCUUUACCACGGGAAGGUGAAACAAAUCACCCAGCCGAGUUCCCACUCUUGGGGGUUCUUGACGAACUUCCCCAAAAGACGGCCAGACGUCUGCCACAAACAUGAGCUGCAGCCCCUGUUCAAGCCCACAACA